Molecule: non-coding RNA, 26 nt
Filed under: Cricetulus griseus (Chinese hamster)
Lineage: Eukaryota; Metazoa; Chordata; Mammalia; Rodentia; Cricetidae
Source: RNAcentral
CAGCUGGAGAGCAAGUCCUAGACCAG